AUGGGGUGCAGCAGGCGAGAAAACUUUGCAAUGUGCGAAAGCACGACAAGGUUAAUCCGAGUGAUUCCUGCUAAAGGAAUCUUUUGUUAGUCAUAAAACCACUAAUGAAUAAGGGGUGGGCAAGUUCUGGUGUCAGCCGCCGCGGUAAAACCAGCACCUCAAGUGGUCAGGGUGAUUAUUGGGCCUAAAGCAUCCGUAGCCGGCUCUGUUAGUUUUCGGUUAAAUCCAUAUGCUCAACAUAUGGGCCGCCGGGAAUACUACAAAGCUAGGGAGUGGGAGAGGUAGACGGUACUCCGUAGGAAGGGGUAAAAUCCUUUGAUCUAUGGAUGACCACCAGUGGCGAAGGCGGUCUACCAGAACACGUUCGACGGUGAGGGAUGAAAGCUGGGGGAGCAAACCGGAUUAGAUACCCGGGUAGUCCCAGCUGUAAACUAUGCAAACUCAGUGAUGCAUUGGCUUGUGGCCAGUGCAGUGCCGCAGAGAAGUCGUUAAGUUUGCCGCCUGGGAAGUACGUACGCAAGUAUGAAACUUAAAGGAAUUGGCGGGGGAGCAC
RNAcentral lists this ribosomal RNA (553 nucleotides) under uncultured crenarchaeote. RNAcentral's name for it is "bacterial SSU rRNA". It matches the Rfam family "Archaeal small subunit ribosomal RNA", at positions 325 to 879 of the family's 1478-position model. Lineage: Archaea; Thermoproteati; Thermoproteota. The record is from RNAcentral.